CCUACGGGAGGCAGCAGUGGGGAAUAUUGCGCAAUGGGCGAAAGCCUGACGCAGCGACGCCGCGUGAGGGAUGAAGGUCUUCGGAUCGUAAACCUCUGUCAGCAGGGAAGAACGGUCACUGUGCUAAUCAGCAGUGAAUUGACGGUACCUGCAAAGGAAGCACCGGCUAACUCCGUGCCAGCAGCCGCGGUAAUACGGAGGGUGCGAGCGUUAAUCGGAAUUACUGGGCGUAAAGCGCUCGUAGGCGGUAUGUCAAGUAAAGGGUGAAAUCCCCGCGCUCAACGUGGGAACUGCCUUUGAAACUGGCAAACUGGAGUGUGUGAGAGGAUAGUGGAAUUCCAGGUGUAGGAGUGAAAUGCGUAGAUAUCUGGAGGAACAUCAGUGGCGAAGGCGACUAUCUGGCACAUAACUGACGCUGAGGAGCGAAAGCGUGGGUAGCAAACAGGAUUAGAUACCCGAGUAGUC
This 465-nucleotide ribosomal RNA is filed under the name uncultured bacterium. RNAcentral's name for it is "partial 16S ribosomal RNA". It matches the Rfam family "Bacterial small subunit ribosomal RNA", at positions 338 to 795 of the family's 1533-position model. The record is from RNAcentral.